GACGAACGCUGGCGGCGUGCCUAAUACAUGCAAGUCGAACGAACAGCGACUUGAACUUGUUCAAGUCAAUGUUAGUGGCGCACGGGUGAGUAACACGUGGAGAACCUACCCUUAAGCGGGGGAUAACCAUUGGAAACGAUGACUAAUACCGCAUAGAAUCACAGAUCACAUGAUCAAUGAAGGAAAGACGGCUUCGGCUGUCACUUAAGGAUGGCUCCGCGGUGCAUUAGCUAGAUGGUGGGGUAAAGGCCUACCAUGGCAAUGAUGCAUAGCCGACCUGGGGGGGUGAUCGGCAACAUGGGAACUGGAAACCGCCCCAAACUCCUAGGGGAGGCAGCAGUGGGAAACUUUCCGAAAGGGAGGCAAGUCUGCCGGGCAAACGCGGCGUGGGUAAAGAAGGUCUUCGGAUCGUAAAGCCCUGUUGUAAGGAAAGAAGGACGGGUAGAGUAAUGGUUACCGGGGGGCCGGUAUUAAACAAGAAACCAACGCUUACUUCCGU
This 499-nucleotide ribosomal RNA is filed under the name uncultured bacterium. Its description in RNAcentral is "partial 16S ribosomal RNA". It matches the Rfam family "Bacterial small subunit ribosomal RNA", at positions 28 to 506 of the family's 1533-position model. The record is from RNAcentral.